ACUCCUACGGGAGGCAGCAGUGGGGAAUAUUGCAUAAUGGGCGCAAGCCUGAUGCAGCAACGCCGUGUGAGUGAAGAAGGUUUUCGGAUCGUAAAACUCUGUCCUAAGGGAAGAAACAAAUGACGGUACCUUAGGAGGAAGCCCCGGCUAACUACGUGCCAGCAGCCGCGGUAAUACGUAGGGGGCAAGCGUUAUCCGGAAUCACUGGGCGUAAAGGGUGCGUAGGCGGCUUAGCAAGCCAGGGGUGAAAGGCAUUGGCUCAACCAAUGUAAGCCUUUGGAACUGUUAAGCUUGAGUGCAGGAGAGGUAAGUGGAAUUCCUAGUGUAGAGGUGAAAUUCGUAGAUAUUAGGAGGAACACCAGUGGCGAAGGCGACUUACUGGACUGUAACUGACGCUGAUGCACGAAAGCGUGGGUAGCGAACAGGAUUAGAUACCCUGGUAGCACAGAG
Molecule: ribosomal RNA, 450 nt
Filed under: uncultured bacterium
Lineage: Bacteria
Description: bacterial SSU rRNA
Rfam family: Bacterial small subunit ribosomal RNA
Source: RNAcentral